GCCCCCGUAGCUCAAUUGGAUAGAGCGGUGGACUUCUAAUCCACAGGUUGUAGGUUCAAGUCCGACCGGGGGCUCCA
Molecule: transfer RNA, 77 nt
Filed under: Planctomycetota bacterium
Lineage: Bacteria; Pseudomonadati; Planctomycetota
Description: Planctomycetes bacterium (groundwater metagenome) tRNA-Arg
Rfam family: tRNA
About the family: Transfer RNA (tRNA) molecules are approximately 80 nucleotides in length. Their secondary structure includes four short double-helical elements and three loops (D, anti-codon, and T loops).
Source: RNAcentral